This 571-nucleotide ribosomal RNA is filed under the name Microbacterium sp. AT08-04. RNAcentral describes it as "bacterial SSU rRNA". It matches the Rfam family "Bacterial small subunit ribosomal RNA", at positions 336 to 917 of the family's 1533-position model. Lineage: Bacteria; Bacillati; Actinomycetota; Actinomycetes; Micrococcales; Microbacteriaceae. The record is from RNAcentral.
UUCCUACGGGAGGCAGCAGUGGGGAAUAUUGCACAAUGGGCGCAAGCCUGAUGCAGCAACGCCGCGUGAGGGACGACGGCCUUCGGGUUGUAAACCUCUUUUAGCAGGGAAGAAGCGAAAGUGACGGUACCUGCAGAAAAAGCGCCGGCUAACUACGUGCCAGCAGCCGCGGUAAUACGUAGGGCGCAAGCGUUAUCCGGAAUUAUUGGGCGUAAAGAGCUCGUAGGCGGUUUGUCGCGUCUGCUGUGAAAUCCGGAGGCUCAACCUCCGGCCUGCAGUGGGUACGGGCAGACUAGAGUGCGGUAGGGGAGAUUGGAAUUCCUGGUGUAGCGGUGGAAUGCGCAGAUAUCAGGAGGAACACCGAUGGCGAAGGCAGAUCUCUGGGCCGUAACUGACGCUGAGGAGCGAAAGGGUGGGGAGCAAACAGGCUUAGAUACCCUGGUAGUCCACCCCGUAAACGUUGGGAACUAGUUGUGGGGUCCAUUCCACGGAUUCCGUGACGCAGCUAACGCAUUAAGUUCCCCGCCUGGGGAGUACGGCCGCAAGGCUAAAACUCAAAGAAAUUGACGGA